Molecule: non-coding RNA, 4420 nt
Organism: Equus caballus (horse)
Lineage: Eukaryota; Metazoa; Chordata; Mammalia; Perissodactyla; Equidae
Source: RefSeq, a predicted model, not a curated record
AGAGCUGCGCUGAGCCCAGCGUGAAUGUGCGAGUGGCAGCCCUGUGCCGGGAGAGGAGUGCCCCAAAGAGGCUCCGAGGCCAGCCCUGUUCACUGACGGUUUCAGUGAGAAACAAGGGCCGGCAGCCAAAGCACCUGUGUGGGCAUCCUCCCACAAGGGGAAGGCAGAGGGAGACAAACGUCCCAGAGCCCUCGGGUCCUGGGGCCGGCAGGGAGGGGGCCAGGGAGACAUGGAAGGAAGGGGAUGAGCUAACCAGCAGUGCAGGGGUACGGAGACGUCGCCCGAACUGCCAGCCCCAUCCUUCCCCUCAGUUCCUUUGCCAGUCUACUUCAGACAUGUGGCCAAGGCUCAGCUCAGGGACAGCUGUCCUCCACGAAGGGCCGGCAGAGGCACCCACUUCUGCACUGCCACCGCCAGGGGCUGUUCCAUCUUCAUACCUGACCCAUCACAUCACAACGGCCUGAAAAUGUGACGCUCUCCCUACAAGACUGGGGACAGCGCGGCAGGGCCCGGGCCGCAUCCACCCCAUGCCUCACACAGAGUGCAGAACUGGCCCGUGCCGGUACUCGGAGGCUAAAGAGAACAAAUGAAUGAGUGAAUAAAUGGAGAGAGAGCAGGAAAGGAAGAAAAGAGAAAGGAAGACUAGCAGGGAGGGAGGAAGAAAUAUAUCACAUUCGUUUUGGCUACGGUGAAACAAUACAGGACUCCAGUAACAUAUUACAAAAAAUUAGCAAGUUUUUAAGGACAAGCUGUCUGUCUGUCUGUCUGUGUCCCAUUCUAAGCUGGCACACAAACGGUCUUUCAGAAUCUCAGGCCUAAUACCUUCCUUCCAUAUACUCAGAGAUGCCAUCCUAGCCUAACCCUCAAGUUCACACACAAGGGAAGCGAAGCCCAGAGAAGUAAAGAGCACAGUCAAGGUCACCAAGGCAGAAAGCACCUUGGGGUGAUGGCCAGGUCACCACAGGCCAGGGGCCAGCAACACCAGAGGGCUUCCAGGCACAAGGGCAGCUCAGAGAGGCCCCCUCAGCCAUCCUGAAUCCUGAGCCAGGACAGCACCUGAGCAGUCGGGGAUGUGAACGCCUGUCUGAGCAACGCAAGCAUCUUCCUGAAAUGGCAUCUGGCAAGGAGGCGAGCAGCCAGGUGCCUACUCCCCACUCUGCCAGGCAGCGGCACACCUCACACUCGGAGAUGUCACGCGUAGUGCUGAUGCCAAGCUGUCACGUCUCCUUGUACUAAAAACGGUAGUUUGUUCCUUCCCCUCUCUCCGAAUAGCAACGUCUGUCUGGGAGCUCCUCAGCCCACUGCCUCCUGUUGACAGCCUGACACCCAGGUCCAGGCCGGAGGUGUGGCCCUCACCCGUGCCAGCACCACUCAUGCUGGCUUGAGCAGAGCAUGGUGGCACUCUUGGGCAGUUCCCAGAAAACAACUUCAAGCCCUCUGCAAAAUCAACCUCGAGAGAUGGCUGCCUCUCAACAGAAAACUCCUGGGGUGGCGUACGGACCUCAGUGAGUGCCAUGGACCCCUCUCUCACCUGAGGCUAGCAGCCGCCCCACGAGCGGGGCAGAUCUGAAACCCAGUGCCAGAGGCGAUGACAUGAGUGCCCUCACCAUGUGGUGGCCGGUUCCAUGCAGGAAGCCCCAGGAUCAGGUGACAGGAGCAACCUGAGCUCCCUCCACUAUUCCAGCCGGGGCCUCAGGGGAGCAAAGUAAGAGAAACCCACAGCUGAGGACCCAGACGGUGCUCCCGGACGCAGCCGCGAGGAAGAACUGUGCUCAUGGAGGCCGGGUAUGUGUCUAAGCUCGUGUUCUCUAACCUGCGUUCUGAAACAGCUGUGUCACAGGAGAGGCCUACAGGUACCCGUAAAAAUGGAAGGACAAAGCCACACCCAGGUCUCUCCGGCAGGUUCCCAGAGCCUCUGCCAGGCUUCCUGCAGCAACAGUUUCCAAGAGGUGACGCGAGAAGGGCAGCUCCCUAAUUUACUUCGUCAAGUAACUUACUUGACCGUCUCCUUGCUGGUCCUCAGUUUAAUAUAUGGGAUCUUUCCCUAAGCUAGAGAGAGUUCAGAAUUUUAAGACACAGAUGUAAGGCAGAACGCUUUCCUGCAAAGUCCCUUUGUUCUUGAUACUGGGUGACACCAGGUGAGUCACACCAGGUGUUAUCUGAGCUGAUCCCUCAUAGCAGAGAGGCCGGCGUGGGUGUGCUCUCUAACAGCCGCACAACUGCGAAAGUCCAAGCGCAGAUCCGGUUCCUCUGACCCACCCUGGGCCCGAGGAAGGGCCGAUGGGUCCCAAGUCACGCUCUGAAGAGAACCUGGUUGCAGCCUCUCCCCCUUAAAGGGACUGCCCCCCCGCCAUCUGCUUCUUAUACCUAAGAGGAUUGACAGCACACACUGAGGGAUGGCUCCUUCUCUUGGGGACCACAAGGGGCUGACUUUAUUCUCCAACAGCGAUGUCACAAAGCGACAGCAAGGAGGAAUGUCCCCUGGCACAAUGGCAAUGUGAAGCUUGGAGAACAUCCUGUGCCAGCUCUCCCUUCCAGGUUAAUGCCACUGUUCUCAUGGGACCAGAGCAAAUGGAGCCCCCUACCCCCUGCCCCCUGCUUUCUUGGGUCAGGGCAGCAGGUUCUGUGAUACAGACACAGGCAGCAAAGUCACCGGGUGAAGGGCCAAGAAAGCACCCUACACUCCAAGGGGCUGUUCAAGGUCCCCAGCACUUGGCAGGACUGGCUCCAUGGGGGUCAUCCCAAGGCUUGGCGUGGGGGGCACUUCUGGGCAGACUGCUCUAGCUCUGAGAUGGGGCACGAAAGGAAGAAGGGACAAGAGCAGCAACGGUGCCCCUCCUGUCCCCGCUCCUACCUACCGCCUCCCGCCACCAAACACCCUGCCCACAGUUCUCAGGGGACGGGCUGUUCCAGCACCAGCACUCCGACCUUAGGGCUCACUGACCCCCUACUCCCUACUUUGGGCCAACAGAGAAACAAAAACAGUUCCUGAGAGUUCAUUACGUUGCAGACGCUUGCUUAACACUUGAUAUUAUCUUAUGAAGUUGUUUCUCUUAUCAUCCCCAUUUUACAGAGAGGGAAACCGAGGCCUGGAGAGGUCAAGGAAGCUGCCCAAGGCCACAGAGGAGAAGUCAGCGGGAUAGGACUUGAAACCAAGUGUUUGACUCCAGGGCCCACACUCUUGCUGCUCAAGGAUCUCAAAGGACGUGAGCUAACCGGCGCCUGGUAAACUCGUCCACCACCCUUGGCCUAGGGGAGGACGUCAGGAGGUGUUAAAAAGGAUGCCAACGUGAGGACCUCAAAAGCGGGGAGUGGGCAGCGACUCUGGCCGACCAUAAGGUUCCCUGAGGACAAGGGUCAGGCUCAGAAGACAAAGACGAACAAAGAGCUAGCUGGAGAGCAUCAUUCAUAUGCUGUGGAUCAAUAAUGGCAACGCAAGAAGAGAAGACUCCAGCCCUCAAGAACGAAACAGCAAGAAGAAUUUAACACUCUCCUCCUCCCCAGCCCCCAAGGCUCAGGGAGCUGGGGUGAUGUCUCAGGGUCUGCACUGACAUGAACUUGCAUCGGGGGCCUGGCCAUUCCUCCAGCACCCCCUUCUCCCAGCCAUCCUCCAGUCUGCUGUCAUCUCUGGGCCUGGGAGCACGCUGGACCCUCUGCCUCUCCCACCCAGCUGGCUCAUCCCAACUCAGCAUUAAAGACUGGAUCCGGCAUCACUUCCUCCUGGAGGCUUCUAUGACCUCCCGCCACCACUUGCAAACAGAGUGAGGUGUCUCUCCUUAUUCUCCCACAGCAGCUUCUGUAGGGCUCACUGAUCACACUGGUAAGAAUAAUGAGAAUGAUAGAAGUAAUAAUAAUAGCGGCCAUCACGUACUUAGUAGGAACCAGGUACAGUCUGGCACUAUAUGAAGUGCAUACAUAUAAUCUCAUCUUAUUAAUUUCAGUUAAUCCUCAUAACCCCUCUGUGAGCUUUGCACAAAUGAAUAAACUGAGGCUCAGAGGUGUUACAGAACUUGCCCAAGGUCACAGAUCUCUCAGGGCAGAGCGGAGAUGCAAACUCAGGAAUGACCCGAUUCCAAAGUCGGUGUGUCUGACUUCAAGUCAUUGCCGAUCAGGUCUCCCGUUCCUUGCAGCUGGCAGCACACCGAAUUAUGUGAGUGCCCCUUGAGGCCGGGUACUUCCCAGUCCUUGUCCUAAAGUUCACAGCGACCCUGCAAGCUGGGUGAUGCUGCCCCCACUGUGCAGCUGGAGAACGUAAGGCGCGGGCAGUUUAAUAAGUUGCCUGUGGUCACAGAGCAAGAAAACAGCAGGGUCAGGUUGGAACUUGCACCCAUCUACUGCACAAGUCUACGCCCUUUCUACUAUACCACACUGCCGCCCCUCCUCCACAUGGACCUAUUUGGAAAAAGAAUCUGAAGUAUAG